UGGGGAAUUUUGGACAAUGGGGGCAACCCUGAUCCAGCCAUGCCGCGUGCAGGAGUGAAGGUCUUCGGAUUGUAAACUGCUUUUGUCAGGGACGAAAAGGACUGUGUUAAUACCAUAGUCUGCUGACGGUACCUGAAGAAUAAGCACCGGCUAACUACGUGCCAGCAGCCGCGGUAAUACGGAGGGUGCAAGCGUUAAUCGGAAUAACUGGGCGUAAAGGGCAUGCAGGCGGUUCAUCAAGUAGGAUGUGAAAUCCCCGGGCUCAACCUGGGAACAGCAUACUAAACUGGUGGACUAGAGUAUUGCAGGGGGAGACGGAAUUCCAGGUGUAGCGGUGGAAUGCGUAGAUAUCUGGAAGAACACCAAAGGCGAAGGCAGUCUCCUGGGCAAAUACUGACGCUCAUAUGCGAAAGCGUGGGUAGCAAACAGGAUUAGAUACCCUGGUAGU
RNAcentral lists this ribosomal RNA (448 nucleotides) under uncultured Succinivibrio sp. Its description in RNAcentral is "bacterial SSU rRNA". It matches the Rfam family "Bacterial small subunit ribosomal RNA", at positions 355 to 794 of the family's 1533-position model. Lineage: Bacteria; Pseudomonadati; Pseudomonadota; Gammaproteobacteria; Aeromonadales; Succinivibrionaceae. The record is from RNAcentral.